Molecule: transfer RNA, 68 nt
Filed under: marine eukaryotic metagenome
Rfam family: tRNA
About the family: Transfer RNA (tRNA) molecules are approximately 80 nucleotides in length. Their secondary structure includes four short double-helical elements and three loops (D, anti-codon, and T loops). Further hydrogen bonds mediate the characteristic L-shaped molecular structure. tRNAs have two regions of fundamental functional importance: the anti-codon, which is responsible for specific mRNA codon recognition, and the 3' end, to which the tRNAs corresponding amino acid is attached (by aminoacyl-tRNA synthetases). tRNAs cope with the degeneracy of the genetic code in two manners: having more than one tRNA (with a specific anti-codon) for a particular amino acid; and 'wobble' base-pairing, i.e. permitting non-standard base-pairing at the 3rd anti-codon position.
Source: RNAcentral
CGCUGUAGCUCAGUUGGUUAGAGCGCUUGAUUGUGGAUCAAGAGGUCGUAUGUUCGAUUCAUACCAGC